GGAGAUGAAAUAGUCACUAGGACCCAGCCAUGUUUUAAAAUGAUUAUAAAUUAUUUUAACAGUGCAUUUGCAAAGGGUUAUAAAAACAGCCAUAAUAUAUUUUUUUCCUUAGAUUCUAGAAUUACCAGUGUGACAGCUAAUGCAAUAAUGAUUUGUUUCAAAUGCCAGUGUUUAAGCUGUAUAAAGCUGAUUUUAUACAUUUUUCCAGUAGGCCGCAUUGUAGUUAAUGAAAUUAAACACACCAAUCGCAUUUGUCCCCAGGGGACGAGGAACUGAACACACCACUGGUUUAUUUUUUUAUUAAAAUAAAUUGCAGCCGGCAAGAUGGACUAAUUGCAUACAGAAUUGAAAAAGAAACAUUCCAUUGAUAUAAUUAAGCCAAUUUUCAUGGACAGAAAUAGUUAUAGUGGAUAUAAAAUAAGCAAAACCUUCACCAGAAUCUGACUUCCC
This 450-nucleotide long non-coding RNA is filed under the name Homo sapiens (human). Its description in RNAcentral is "HSALNT0000693". Lineage: Eukaryota; Metazoa; Chordata; Mammalia; Primates; Hominidae. The record is from RNAcentral.